CAGCCCAGUGGGCCCUUCAGAUCAGCAGAGCUAAGUGUUGGACAAAUUCUGCACAUGCACAGACAAAGUUGCUAAGGAAAAAUGAAGCUGUUCCAGGACAUGUUACAGUAUGCUUAUGGUUAUGCAAGUAAAAAAAAAGAGGUAAUACAAAGUGAACUGUUCUCAGCUAGGAAUCAGUCUUCAAAGUCAAAGAGGAAGUAAUAUAUUCUGUAAGUGACUGAGAUUAAACAGAUGGCUCAGUUUGUGGUCAUCCCUGGAAGAGUCUUGCCAUCACCUGUCACCAAGAGAUGUGGCACUCCCAAGCAGUCAGAGUCCUACGGGAGCAACACAAGUCUCAGGUUGACACCAGAGUUCUCGUCCAGCACAGAUUUCUCCAUUCAGACAGUCCAGAUACUUUUUGCAUGCACCAACUCUUUGUUGUGAUGAGCCUCUCUGCCCUCCACCACCCAAGCAUCUUUCCAUCGAAAUAACAAAUUAAAGGUAAGAGAUGCCUUCUCCUCCCUCUCCCCUCACCACCAGAAAAAAAAAAAAAAGAAAAAAAAAAAAAAAGAAAAAAAGAAACACCAUGGAGAAAUACAGUGGUUCUCUUUUCACUUUUGUUUCACACAGGUAGAAAACAUACUGCAUACCACUGCCUAAACAAGAGGGAUGAGGAAAUCUAGGUGCAAAGCUAGGAUGACAUUUUUCUGUGUACUGCUCCACUCUAUUUCCUUUGAUUUAAUCAGGGGAAAAUGCUGUGCUUAACACAGCUUCCUUUAAAAACUUAACAUAACCCAAGUUCACAUUAAACUGGUCCAAAAUUAACUUCAAAGUUUUG
RNAcentral lists this long non-coding RNA (817 nucleotides) under Anser brachyrhynchus (Pink-footed goose). RNAcentral describes it as "lncRNA (ENSABRG00000018326.1)". The record is from RNAcentral. Lineage: Eukaryota; Metazoa; Chordata; Aves; Anseriformes; Anatidae.